This 30-nucleotide non-coding RNA is filed under the name Mus musculus (house mouse). Lineage: Eukaryota; Metazoa; Chordata; Mammalia; Rodentia; Muridae. The record is from RNAcentral.
UAAAUAACUAAGGGCUUGGAUGUGCUGCAU